UCCAUGAUGGUCCAGUGGUUAAGACUCUGUGCUUCCACUGCAGGGGGCAUGGGUUUGAGUCCUAGUUGAGGAA
Non-coding RNA from Bos taurus (domestic cattle), 73 nucleotides. The record is from Rfam. Lineage: Eukaryota; Metazoa; Chordata; Mammalia; Artiodactyla; Bovidae.